Molecule: ribosomal RNA, 406 nt
Filed under: uncultured bacterium
Lineage: Bacteria
Description: partial 16S ribosomal RNA
Rfam family: Bacterial small subunit ribosomal RNA
Source: RNAcentral
AUUGAACGCUGGCGGCAGGCUUAACACAUGCAAGUCGAGCGAGCGGCGGACGGGUGAGUAAUGUCUGGGAAACUGCCUGAUGGAGGGGGAUAACUACUGGAAACGGUAGCUAAUACCGCAUACCAUCAGAUGUGCCCAGAUGGGAUUAGCUAGUAGGUGGGGUAAUGGCUCACCUAGGCGACGAUCCCUAGCCGGUCUGAGAGGAUGACCGGCCACACUGGAACUGCGACACGGUCCAGACUCCUACGGGAGGCAGCAGUAGGGAAUAUUGCACAAUGGACGCAAGCCUGAUGCAGCCAUGCCGCGUGUGUGAAGAAGGCCUUCGCGUUGUAAAGCACUUUCGUCGGGGAGGCGUUACUCGCAGAGAAAGCACCGGCUAACUCCGUGCCAGCCGCCGCGGUAAUUC